GUGGGACCCACCUGCACAUUCUCUUACUUCCCACUCAUUCUCUCUCAUUACUUGUUGGUGAAUUUCCCUUCUUACCCUUCCUAACAUACGUAUGUAUGAUUGGGGGUCUCACAACACCCCUCGGUUCCAAAUUCACCUUGUCCUCAAGGUGGAAUGUGGGAAACUGUUGAUUCAUUUGAUAGACAGCUUCCCAUGUUGCUUCAGUUUCUGAUAAAUUCUUCCACUUGACUAGCCAUUCGUUAGCUCCCAAAUCUUUAUUCCAGCGAAUUCCCAAUACCUGUUCUGGCCAUAGUUGUAACUCGAAAUCUGUUGUCAACAUAGGUUGUUGUUGCUGCACAACAUGCUGCUUACCUAGCUUGAGCUUCAAUUGUGAGAUGUGGAACACAUCAUGAAUACUCGCUUCUGGUGGAAGUUUCAAUCUAUAUGCCACAUCUCCUAUUUCUUCAAUGAUUGUGUAAGGCCCAUAGAAUUUUGGUGCCAGCUUUUCACAUCUUUUCCGAGCUAAGGAUCUCUGCCUAUAAGGUCUGAGUUUUAGGUACACUUCAUCACCCACCUUGAACUUCAACUCCCUUCUUUUGGUGUCUGCCCAUUUCUUCAUGCGGUUUUGGGCUAAGUGAAGAUUCUCCUUCAAUGCGUUCAAUGUCAGAUCUCUCUCUUUUAGCAUUACCUCUACCUCAUCAUUCUGAGUCUUUUGGGUUCGGUAGGAUAAAAUUGGGGGUGGUUGUCUCCCAUAUACAAUCUUGAAAGGGUUGGAGCGUAUGGAUGAAUGGAAAGUGGUGUUAUACCACAGUUCAGCCCAUGAAAUGAACUUAUGCCACUUUUGAGGUUGCUCAUUGCAGAAGCAUCUCAAGUAUGUCUCCAGACAUUGGUUUACCCUUUCCGUCUGUCCAUCCGUUUGUGGGUGGAACGCCGUGCUUCUUUUCAGUUUAGUACCCAUAGUUGUAAAUAAUUCAUUCCAAAAGUGGCUAAUGAAGACUUUAUCCCUGUCUGAUAAUAUGGAUUUUGGAACCCCAUGCUUGCUGACAAUCUUUUCAAUGAAUGUAGUCGCCACUUGUUUGGCUGUGAAAGGAUGCUUCAUAGUAAUGAAAUAAUCAUACUUGCUCAAUUUGUCUACCACCACCAUUAUCACAUUCAUUCCCCCUGCCUUAGGUUAACCCUUCUAUGAAAUCCAUUGACCAUUCUUCUAGUAUGGCUUCCGGAGCAGGAAGUGGAUGUAAUACUCCUGCUGGUUUCGUGGCCUCAUAUUUGUUCCUUUGACAAAUCUCACACUGUUCCACAUAUUUCUUUAUAUCAGCCUUCAUUCCCUCCCAGUACAGCUCCCCGCUCAUCCUUUUAUAUGUCCUCAAGAAUCCCGAGUGUCCUCCUAAUAUGGAGUCAUGGAAUGUAUGCAGCAAUGUGGGGAUCACUGACGACUUCUUUGAUAAUACCACUCUCUUCUUGUAGAACAGUUUCCCAUUCUCCCAGCUAAAUUUGCUAAUUCCCUCUGGAUUCUGUUUCAAUUCUUUAAUGGUUUUCUGUAAUUCCUCAUCUUGGUUGACUUCCUUGUCUAUCACUUCCAUGUCUACAAUGCCAGUUGUCGUCAAGGAGUUUACUUCCAGCGGAUAUUCCAUCCUAGAAAGGGCAUCUGCUGCUUUGUUUUGUAAUCCAGGUUGGUAUAAUAUUUCAAAAUCGUAUCCCAGAAGUUUGGUCAGCCAUUUCUGAAAUUGGGGUUGUACUUCCCUCUGCUCAAGGAGAAAUUUCAAUGCCUUUUGAUCUGAGAUAAUUGUAAACUUCCUUCCUAAUAGAUAAUGACGCCAUUUCUGCACUGAUAAUACUACAGCCAUCAGUUCUCUUUCGUAAAUGGACUUGGCCUGAGCUCGUGUCGACAAUUUCUGGCUGAAGAAGGCUAUGGGGUGACCAUUCUGUGAAAGUACAGCUCCCAAUCCUGUCCCUGAAGCAUCUGUUUCGAUUAAAAAAGGUAGAUCCCAAUUCGGCAGUGCUAGCACCGGGAUAGUAGUCAUGGCCAUCUUUAAUUUUUCAAAAGCCACGGUUGCUUGUUCAUCCCACGCAAAAGAAUUCUUUUGCAACAAUCUGGUCAAGGGGGCUGCAAUUUCUCCGUAUCCUUUCACAAACCUACGAUAAUAGCCCGAUAAUCCCAGAAAUCCUCUCAGACCCGUGACAUCUUUCGGCUGAGGCCAUUUCACCAUGUCUUUGAUCUUCUCCUCAUCAGCCUGUACUCCUUUACUCGAAAUUAUAUGCCCCAAAUAUUGGAUUUUGGAGUGAGCUAUGACACACUUCUUCUUAUUUGCAAAUAGAUGGUUAUCCCUCAACACUGCAAAUACCAUCCCUAGAUGUUUCUCAUGUUCUGAUAUAUCCUUGCUAUAUACAAGUAUAUCAUCGAAGAAUACCAAUACACACCUUCUUAAAAAAGGUUUGAAUACCUGAUUCAUCAAGGACUGGAAGGUGGCUGGUGCGUUUGUAAGACCGAAGGGCAUUACCAGAAAUUCAUAGUGACCCUCAUGUGUUCUGAACGCGGUCUUCUCAACAUCUUCCUUCUGCAUCCUUAUUUGAUGGUAACCGGACUUCAGAUCUAGUUUUGAGAAAACCGUGGCUCCAUGUAAUUCAUCCAGCAGUUCUUCUAUCACUGGGAUAGGAAAUUUGUCCGAUAUGGUUACUUGGUUGAGUUUCCGGUAAUCUACACAAAAGCGCCACCCUCCAUCUUUCUUUUUGACCAAUAAAACAGGGCUGGAGUAAGGGCUAUGACUGGGACGUAUCACACCUGCUUGCAGCAUUUCCACCACCAAUUUCUCAAUUUCCUCCUUCUGUACAUAACCAUAUUUAUAUGGUCUGACAUUGAUGGGCCUUUGGUUCGGUAAAACCAAUAUACGGUGAUCUAUUUCUCUCUUAGGGGUAGCUUUUUUGGAUCCUCAAAGAUGUCUGCAUACUGUUGUAACAGAUUUUUAAUCAUUGGAAUCUCUUCCUCGUCCCCUUUCAUUUCCUGCUCCACUUCCACCUCCGUGUCUACUUCAUACUUUUGGAAUUCCAACAGAAAACCCUGAUCUUCAUUUUCCCACGUUUUCUCAAUGGUUUUCAGGGAACAUUCUGCUUGGAUGAGGGAUGGGUCUCCUUUCAAGAUAAUUUUCUGUUUGCCUGACCAAAAGGACAUUGUUAGAGAUGGCCAAUGUAUCUUCAUGGUGCCUGUUGUAUCCAGCCACUGCAUACCCAAUAUUACAUCCACAUUUCCCAACUCAAUAGCAAAAAAAUCAGCCACCACCACAACCCCUUGUAGUUCCAAUUCCACUCUCUUGCAAACACCCUUGCCUGUACACUUGGUGCCAUCUCCAAUUGUAACUGCAAACGGAUUACCUUUUUCCAAGUAUAAGUUCUUUUCCUUUACUGUCUGGUUAUGUAUAAAAUUAUGGGUUGCUCCACUAUCAAUCAGCACUAUCACUCCUUUGCCCUUUAUAUUUCCCUUCAGCUUCAUCGUUCCCUUCGAUGCCAUCCCAUGGAUUGUCUUCAAUUCUAUUUCCUCUCCUUCUGCAAAAUCCAGGUGGUUUAAUUCCACUGUUUCCCCUGGUUCCUCUUCUAUCUUGUCUUUCUCUUCCUUGCUCUCCUCUUCAUUCAUGAUAAAUAACAUCAGCUCCCUUUUUUCCUUCACUCUACAUCUGUGCCCCGGCGUAUACUUCUCAUUGCAUUUGAAACAUAGGCCCUUAUCCAGUCUGGACCUGAAUUCUGCGUCUGAAAGUCGUUUGAUAGGAGGUUCAUUUUUUUGAUAACUACCCUUAAUAGGUAUAGUUACUUGUUUUAUGGGAAAAUCUGUUUUCCUCAUGUAGCUUUUGUCUGUUCCAUCUUGGAUUUUUCCUGCAUACUCUUCUUUUUUCUUUGGUUCCACUGUCCUGCCCUCGGUCUUAGUCAGUUUCAUUGCUACAUUCCGAUCAUUGACUAGUUGAGCCUCCCUCAUACAUUCUUCCAAUGUUCGAGACGUAACGACUUCUGCUUGAAGAUUGGGUUCCAGACCGGUCAGAAAAGCAUCGCGUAACACACUUUCCUCCAUGUGAGGGAGAGGAGCUGAAUAUGUGACAAAUUUCUUCACAUACUCACUGUAGGAUCCAUCUUGUUGAAUCCUAAUCAAGCGUGCCACUAGACUCGUUUGCCCUGAGUCCUUGAAAAAAUCAAACAUCCUCCCUUUCAAGUCUUCCCAUGACUCUACUUUUUUCCUAUUAUGUGUCCACCGGUACCAGUCCACUUCAUCUUGCCCAAAGCUGACCACAGCCACUUUGAUCUUCUCGUUUUCUGGCAGGUUGUUGAUCUAAAAAAAAUGUUCUGCUCUAUAUACCCAGGAUUCAGGAUUUUCACCUAAGAACAUAGGCAUUUCUAACUUUUUGUACUUACUUCGAUCCACAUUAUUUCCAUUUAUCUCAUUACAGACUUCCGAUUCUUCUACUUUUCCUUUCAACUUCAUGCUGGAUCCAUCAGAUGUUCCGGAUUCAUCUCUUUUCUUAUAGCUAUGAUUCUCUCUUAGUUCCUCCGUUAGUCUUUCCAUAGAUUUCUUCAUUUCCAGUAGCAUUUCUUUCAUGCUCAACAGCUCCUUCUCGGUUCCUUCCAUUCGUUCCUCCAUUUGUCUUUAUGCCAUGCGACGCGUAACAACACCCAGUUUUUUUUUUUUUUUUUUUGUUAGGCUCUGAUACCAAAUGUCAGGAUUCUAACCCACUUUCUAAUAAAACACUCAACAAUGGCUAAAUAGAGACAGCCCCUGUGAUUCUUUAUUUAUGUAUAUAGCCAAAAGAUACAGCUACAAUAUGAAAUGAAAGCAAGAACAGUAAAUAUCAAGAACAUACCAGCAUCCUUUACAAGAAGGAUACCCCCUCCCCUUUACGGCUGCUGCCGCCCCUCUUUUCCCUAUGGUUAACAAAAAAGAUCCCUAUCCCUAUUUCCCAAUCAUUCUAUUUAUACUCACCCUCAAAUUCCUACCCAGUGGGACCCACCUGCACAUUCUCUUACUUCCCACUCAUUCUCUCUCAUUACUUGUUGGUGAAUUUCCCUUCUUACCCUUCCUAACAUACGUAUGUAUGAUUGGGGGUCUCACAACACCCCUCGGUUCCAAAUUCACCUUGUCCUCAAGGUGGAAUGUGGGAAACUGUUGAUUCAUUUGAUAGACAGCUUCCCAUGUUGCUUCAGUUUCUGAUAAAUUCUUCCACUUGACUAGCCAUUCGUUAGCUCCCAAAUCUUUAUUCCAGCGAAUUCCCAAUACCUGUUCUGGCCAUAGUUGUAA
RNAcentral lists this long non-coding RNA (5251 nucleotides) under Cucumis sativus (cucumber). RNAcentral's name for it is "long non-coding RNA (CSAT_LNC000693)". Lineage: Eukaryota; Viridiplantae; Streptophyta; Magnoliopsida; Cucurbitales; Cucurbitaceae. The record is from RNAcentral.